CUUAAAUUUUUUGAUUUUUUUCAAGUUUUAUUUCUCAUAGAUUUUAUUUUCCAAUUUUUCGACGAUUUUACCCUUUUCAUAUUUUUUUUUGUGUCUAAAUUUUUUCGAUUUGGACUGAAGCUCAAGGUCAAAUUUGCAAGCGCUGAUGACGAAUAUCGGUUUAUUUUUUCGAUCCGAUCUUUCUGAAUCCUCCCCUCGCCCGGUCAAUGUCCUUUAGCAUGGUUGAAAUACAUAAAAAAAUUGAAGAGAAGUCGUCUUGACAGGUUUUCGAGAGCUCUGAAUUCAAAUAUCAUCAAUUUUUCUGGGUAUACAACUUCUCUUUACCCCAGCCCCCUCUCAAUGUUGAGGGGGAAAACGUCUGAGGAAUUAUGAAAGUGUGAUAUAAGACGUCGAUUCCCUUCAUUUCAUUUUUAUUUGUUUGAAGGGGGAAUCCUGGGUGGGAUCAAAUAUUUAUUUUUUGGAUUCGAGCAUUCUGAAGAAGUACAAAAUUUAUGAAACUGUUUUCCCCUCUUCCAUUAAAUUUAUUCAAUCACAUUCUUCAUCUUCGUAUCUCCCUCCUCCUCCCCCCCCCCAUCAAAAAAAUGUUUCCAGGAAUAUGAAAUGAUUGCGAGUAAAUGGAACGAGAAAAUUCAGGAGCAAUGACCUGUUCCAAAUUAGAGUGUAAACAAACUGUCCGUUCAACCUUUUCUAAUGAUGCUAAUAUUUUUAAUACUCCAUCCUAAUUUUAAAAAAUUUGAAAACCCCGAGUUAAAAAUCAGGUCCUGAUUAUUUCCGCUUCGUAUGAACCAAAGUGUCGUUUUCUUGACCUACUCCACUUCCCAAAGCUCUCUUCUCACUUCGCCCUCAUCGAUUUUCAAAACAAACAUUCUCUUCCGAAGAAAACCCACAUACCCGAGCAUCAAACACCAACUUGGUGUAGCAGUAGACAUAGACUACCUAUACGAUAUCAUCAUCAUCAUCAUGGUAGUAAAUAUGUUAUGCUGUCUUAUUAUUCAGUCUACAAUGUACACAUCACGUGUUCGCGUCUUGUACUCUUGUAAGUAAGAAAUUUGGCUCUGGCGUAGGGACAUUUGUAGUAUAUAUCAAUUCGAAGAAUUUACGAGCGAAUUAUUUUUACUCGUGUGCACAGAAUCAUACCACUUAACGCAGAUCUGCGUUUAAAAAAGAUCCAAGCAUUAUAAGAACUUGGGAAUAAGAUCAACCAUAAGACUAUACGAAUCUUUAUCAAAAUCAACAAUAUUUUCAGAUGCAUUGUCUUUAUUGUUACAUGAAUCCUUGACACUUCAUGAUGAAAAAAUCAAUACAGAGGGAACGAGUAUUCUGUGAAGCUAAACAAAGUCAAGUUUUUCUAGUUUCUUCACUUUAGAAAAUCGUGCUUUGAUAUUGAAAAACUUUGGUAACAUCUGACAACGUCGCCUUUCAAGAGAAGGAUCAUGAAUUUGAUUUGGAAAGUUCCUGCGGAAAGAAUUUUCGGUGAGAAUUUGAUUGGAUACAAAUGAGGUAAGCGUUGACUCAAUCGCACGUAUCCGGAUACCUACCUAAGUAUAUCUACCCACUCGAAGAACAAUCGUAAAUCAACGAGUGUUACAAUAAGUUAGGUAGCGAGGUACAUACAAAUCAGCAAUAACGAUCAAUUAAUAAUCACGUAAUCGCCAGCAAGGUAAACAGUAAUUAAAAUUAUCUAGGUAGUUGAUUUGGUGCAAUAUUUUAUUAUGAAAAAUACCUAAGCGAAGAAAAACCCAUACCUUAUUGGAACUAUUACUUCGAUAUUGGUGUUAAUAAAUCGAUCCAGAAGCAAAACAAGAUGUUUUUUUGCCGAAUCGAAUCUAAUCGUACGGAUUUCAGCGAGAAAGAAAGGAAGUAUACACAGCACCGAAACCAAUUAGACGAUUUCAAGGUACAUGAUUCGUAUAUUAUGUUCUUGGGUCAUACCUCAUAGGUAGGUAGUACGUAUUCAUCGAAGUACACAACAAAAAUAGAGGACUCGCGUAUUUUUAUGUUGACGAUGAAGAUGACGACGACGACGAGUACGCCGAAGAUGAAUUUCAUCAAACGAUCAACAUUGCCAAAACUCUACGAUUUUUGCACAUGGAUGAAGCUCGCCAUCGCGACCGACGAUGUUAAUCUGUUAUCGAUUUGAAACUUGGCCAAGAUGUUUGUGUUCGAACAUGCUUGUUUGCUUCUGCGGAUACUAAAUCCAAGCUAAUCCGUAUGCUCGUGAAGAAGUUCGGGUAUAUAGAAGAAAGAAUUAUAAGUUUCGAAUAUUUAUGAUUAUCCAUAAAGUAAAGGCUACGAGGACGGAUCGCGCCAGGAUACGGUGUCGCGAAGAUUCAAAUCAAAUCACAAUUUUUGAAAAAAAUUUCGAAUCGUAACUCUUUCAAUUGGACUGCAUUUCUACUCGUUUGAUCAAGGAUUUAUCCAAACCUAUACAGAAGAACUUGUUACAGUGAAAAUGUAUGGCUAGAAUUAUGAACUAGAUGAACAACGACAUACUUGUAAAGGUAUUUCUUCUAUUUCUUUCGUUUGGAUUUGCUCCGGUGUGAAAAGUCUAUCGAUCUGGGCUCGUGGUAAAUGCAGAGUCAUUAUACGUAAAGGGAUACCGAUUUGGCAAGCUGAUAAUCCUACGAAUUGACCACCAGAAUUUGAAUCGGAUAAGGCCCCUUUAUUCUCUUCUCUUCCUUCGGGUCAUCGCCCAUGAAAUGUACCUACAGAUCAAAGCCUGAUAUGACUUCGGUGAAAAAGUCGAAUCGACGAGGAGUUUCAGAGCAUAAGUCAAUAAAUGAUCGAUAGCUAAAGCUAACGACGAUGACCCACUUUGAAUGUGAUUAGGAUUACUCAAGAUAUGGUUCUGUUCCAUACUGAAAACCCUGAAGGAAAUUUGCUCGGAAAUGCUCGCUUUAUUAAAUUAGGUUAUAAUUGAUUUACUCAACUGAAAUGGACAGAUGUUGAAGUACCUAUACGUUUAUGAGUUUUAAGUUAUUGAUGCGACAAAGUGACGUCCUGCAACUUAAUUUACACAUUAUUUCACGUUGGAAAGCACAAAGACAGAUAUGAAGAUUCAAAACCAUUAAAAGGAUGAGCGUCCAACCUUUCGAAUAUUAUCAUAGAAGAAUAAUUAUAUAGGUAGAGGUACCUACGUUGAUUUUCUAAAGAUUCAUUCUGUAAUAUUGAUCGAAAGUUUGAGUGACUGAUGUUGUAUGAAGACACAGAUAGGUAAUAUUUUUAAGUAUUUUAUAAGAUCCAUGACUUAAAUAUUUUUCGUCGGUAAUUUGAUUCUGUUUAUAUAGCUAUUUUUUGAUGGAUUUCACUUUCAGACCAGAAAAGUCUAAACAAACUGCAACUAUCAUCGAAGCCUUGUAGGAUUUAAAAUAAACCUCCAAAUCUGAUGUUAUUGACAUUUCGCAGAAUGCGUUUUCAAGUGGUGCUGCCAAUUAGAAAAUAUAAGACAAAAAUUCAUUAAAAUUUUAAAAAAAUCAAAGGAAGUUUAUUUGGAGAAAAAAAACGUUUCACAUUCCGUUGCAAAGUAAAAUUAUUGGUGUUUCUUAUUUCUUUGCGGAGGUAUUUUUACUUUUUUUCCAACGCAACACAACAAAGAAUUGAAUAAUUUAAAUUUAAACUAAGUACAUUGAAAAAAUUUGAAAAAAUUUGAAAAUUAUAAUUACUAAUUAGUAAGAAAAGAAAAUCUUUAGACUAAAUAAAAUAACAGAAAGACGCAAAAAAGCAAAUCAAAGAAUUACUUACUAAAUGAGUUGUCAAGCUAACUUUUUUGGUUGAAAUCUGAAAUGUGGUUGUAUCGAGAGGCCACUUGCCAGGUCCUAGGAAACUGGAAAGAAAUACAAAAAAGGCUUGAUUGUCACCAUAUUAAUAUAUUACUAAUACUACCCAGAAUUAAUAAUAUUUACUUACCGUAAUUGGCAAUAAAAAAAAAUAAUUGAAAACUGAAACUAAAAACCCACAAAACCAAAUAAAAAUACGGAAAAGCUAAACACCAAAAACCAAAUACAAAAAGCGGUCAAAACUAAUUUUAUCAAAAGGUGAAAACUGAACUGAAACCAAUAAUCAAAAAUCAUUUCAAUUUCAGUUUUCAGCCCCUGAUUUAAACAUUUUCAACUAAAAAAGCAUGCAAUCAUUAGUAAGAAGAGAAAAUCUUUAGAUUAAAUAACAGAAAAAUUCAAAGAAAGCAAAUCAAAGAAUCUUUCUGAAUGAGUUGUCAAGCAAAUCUGCUUGGUGCAUAGCUAUAUGUAUAUUAUAUGUAGUGUCUUGAAUUGAGCAGUAAUUGUAGAAUCAAAAAAUUCCAAAAUUAUGAUGAAGUAUGCACCAAAGUUUUGUUAUUUUCUUCUAACUUAUGUAUUUUUUAGUGAAUAUUAAGUGCAUUAAAAUUGUAAACAGUUGAAUAUUGGAGAUAUAAUUUUACUACGUAUAAAUUACUUUUUUUUUAAAUGCACAAUGGAUUCUUUGUAAGUAAUCAUUUAUAUUAGGAAGUUUAUUUUGCAGGAAAAAAAAACAUUUCACAUUCCGUUGCAAAGUAAAAAGUAUUUCUUAUUUCUUUGUGUAGGUAUAUUUUUACUUUUUUCCCAACACAAUAAAGAAUUAAAUAAUUGAAAUUUGAACUACCUAAGUAAAAAAAAAAUUAAAGAAAAAAAAACUGAAUUUUCAAUUUUUUAGCUUUUUACUUCUUGUUUUUUUAAAAUAAUUAUUUUGAAAUGUUAAUUUUUUUGAGAAAAUGUGCAAAAAGUUGAUACAUAUCAAAACUAGGUAUAUUAAAAUUAUAACUACUAAAUAGUAAAAAGAGAAAAUCUUUAGACUAAAUAACAAAAAGACGCAAAGAAAGCAAAUAAAAAAAUUACUUACUGAAUGAGUUGUCAAGCAAAUCUCCUUUAUACAUUGAUAUAUUUGAGAAAACUGGUGUCUAGAAUUUGAAAAACGUUAAAAUUACGCACCAAGACAUUUAUUUACUUACAUUACCUAUCUAAAGUUAAACUUGAAAUUAACCACACUGGACUUUCCAGGUUAUCAAUACGAAUGUCGAAUACUGAUCGAUACUGUUGAAAAUUUUGCCAAACGUUCAUUUAUCUAAAUCUGAAACUUUCAUAGGCUUUCUUUCAUAAUUUACAAAAUAUAUUAUUAAACAUUAUUUAAACAAAAAUAAAGUUAUUUUAUUUUUUAUUUUUACACAUAGGUAUUGUUUGCACCACACAAUAAUGAGGGUUGGCCAGUGCAAAGUACCUAUUUCAAUAAAGUUUCUCGAUCAGUCAUAUUGGCUGAAUACUUAAAUAUUUCAUGUAUUUUUAAGCAGUAAAAGCAAUGAUAGAAAUGAAUCUAUACAUACUCGCACGUACUGUAACUAUCCAUUUUUAAAAUUUGUUGUUUGUACCUACCAUUCAUAAAGUUUUGUUACGUCCUUGUGACUUAUGUAUUUUUAGUGAAUAUUAAGUGCAUUGAAAUUGUAAAAAUGUUGAUGUUGAAUAUUGGAGGAAUAAUUUCACUACACAUGACAUAUUUUAUACUGCAUAUUUUUUUAAUUGGUUUCGUUAUUUCCUUAUGAUAAUUUUUUUUCUUGCAUUUAUGAUGAAUUUUUUGUUUUGUUGUUUGCAUCACUUACUUGGUUUUGUUUUAGGUUGCUGUAACUCAUUUUAACUGUUGAAUAUUAUACUUAUGUAUGUUUUGAUAUCAA
This is a long non-coding RNA of Planococcus citri (citrus mealybug), 5674 nucleotides long. RefSeq lists it as uncharacterized. The record is from RefSeq and is a predicted model, not a curated record. NCBI's taxonomy places the organism in Eukaryota, Metazoa, Arthropoda, Insecta, Hemiptera, Pseudococcidae. The transcript is spliced from 10 exons.